Molecule: ribosomal RNA, 492 nt
Filed under: uncultured bacterium
Lineage: Bacteria
Description: partial 16S ribosomal RNA
Rfam family: Bacterial small subunit ribosomal RNA
Source: RNAcentral
AGUGAACGCUGGCGGUAGGCCUAACACAUGCAAGUCGAACGGCAGCACAGUAAGAGCUUGCUCUUACGGGUGGCGAGUGGCGGACGGGUGAGGAAUACAUCGGAAUCUACUUUUUCGUGGGGGAUAACGUAGGGAAACUUACGCUAAUACCGCAUACGACCUACGGGUGAAAGCAGGGGAUCUUCGGACCUUGCGCGAUUGAAUGAGCCGAUGUCGGAUUAGCUAGUUGGCGGGGUAAAGGCCCACCAAGGCGACGAUCCGUAGCUGGUCUGAGAGGAUGAUCGGCCACACUGGAACUGAGACACGGUCCAGACUCCUACGGGAGGCAGCAGUGGGGAAUAUUGGACAAUGGGCGCAAGCCUGAUCCAGCCAUACCGCGUGGGUGAAGAAGGCCUUCGGGUUGUAAAGCCCUUUUGUUGGGAAAGAAGAGCAGCAGGUUAAUACCCCGCUGUUCUGACGGUACCCAAAGAAUAAGCACCGGCUAACUUCGUG